AUGCGUAUGUUGAGAUGGAUGUGUGGCCACACGAGGAAGGAUCGAGUCUGGAAUGAUGAUAUACGAGAUAGAGUUGGGGUAGCACCAAUUGAGGAGAAGCUUGUCCAACAUCGUCUGAGAUGGUUUGGGCAUAUUCAGCGCAGGCCUCCAGAAGCUCCAGUGCAUAGCGGACGGCUAAAGCGUGCGGAUAAUGUCAAGAGAGGGCGGGAUAGACCGAAUUUGAUAUGGGAGGAGUCCGUUAAGAGAGACCUGAAGGAUUGGAGUAUCACCAAAGAGCUAGCUAUGGACAGGGGUGCGUGGAAGCUUGCUAUCCAUGUGCCAGAGCCAUGA
This 330-nucleotide ribosomal RNA is filed under the name Triticum aestivum (bread wheat). Its description in RNAcentral is "partial small subunit ribosomal RNA". Lineage: Eukaryota; Viridiplantae; Streptophyta; Magnoliopsida; Poales; Poaceae. The record is from RNAcentral.